This 256-nucleotide RNase MRP RNA is filed under the name Anabas testudineus (climbing perch). Its description in RNAcentral is "RNase MRP (ENSATEG00000015302.2)". It matches the Rfam family "RNase MRP". Rfam says of the family: RNase MRP is an enzymatically active ribonucleoprotein with two distinct roles in eukaryotes. In mitochondria it plays a direct role in the initiation of mitochondrial DNA replication. Lineage: Eukaryota; Metazoa; Chordata; Actinopteri; Anabantiformes; Anabantidae. The record is from Rfam by way of RNAcentral.
GGGCAUUCAGAAGUCUUGCUCUCUGGGCUACACGCUGAGAACCGUGUUUCUCUCUCCGCCCAGGGGAAAGUCCCCGGACCCGCGGCAGAGAGUGCCUCCGGCUGAAGCCGGCGUCGACUCGCGCUGCGCCGCUUGUGGAGCCGAGACGCUCCGCGGAGCUGAGCUCGGCGCGCGCUUGUCGACUUUGUCAGAGUUCAUAGUCAUGCAAGUGCGCACAUGGCAGCGUCAACUGAACGGGGCUCAUUCUCGGAAUGCA